RNAcentral lists this long non-coding RNA (609 nucleotides) under Equus caballus (horse). Its description in RNAcentral is "lncRNA (ENSECAG00000031185.3)". The record is from RNAcentral. Lineage: Eukaryota; Metazoa; Chordata; Mammalia; Perissodactyla; Equidae.
GAAGAAUUCCAACAGUGUCUGCCAGUGUCCGGGUCAGCACGCCUGUAUUAGGUCACAAUAAUGGCUGCUGCCAAUGUCUCAGUCCCUAGAGAGGUCUCACUUCUCACCAAAAUGCACCCAAAGCCUAUCAGAAAAAAAAGAUCUGGGCAAAGUAAUAUUUGUGAAGAUGAAGACACUACACAGUAAAAUCACAUCAAGAGAAUGUUAUCAACCUCUUUUUAACUAAAAGAAUGAAAAUGAAAUGAAAAGGAAUAUUUCAUUGACCUCUUAAAAUUAAUCAAAGACUUUAAAGGUGCAAUUCAGUUACCAGAAGUAAUGAAAGGAAUGGAACCGGCAAGGAACCGAGAUACAACCUGCUCUCAAGGAGGCUGGACUAGGUCAUUCCAGAUUUGCAUCAGCUCUGGGGAUCAUGGCAGUCAGACUAUGGGAUCUUACCCUAGUGCUGACCAUUAACGUAAAACAGUUCUCUGUUGGUCUUUGGUUAUUUUUCUGUGUUUUCUCCUCCACUUCUUACCAUCUGGAUUUACUCUGCAUCUUUUUUCUACCUCACAGCUUUUCCUUCGUUGUAGCUCUAGUGCAUGCCCCUUGGCAUCACGAUAAUCAUGAUCA